ACAGCGAUUAGUGCAUUGACGAAUUUGUCGAUUGAGGAAGGAGAAGCUUGUCUACGAUCCAGAAAAUUCGACUUGACUAAACUCAUUUAUUGCUGAAAGUAACUACCCAAAGGCUGUAUUUAUUGUGCCCAAAAUAGAUUGUCUUGUACAUACUCUGUAUAUAUUUUGAUACGGUAUGGCACUAAAAAGAAUAACAAAGGAAUUCAAAGACUUUGACAAGGAGCCCCCUUCAAAUUGUUCAGCGGGUCCCGUCGGUGAUGACAUGUAUCACUGGCAAGCAACGAUAAUGGGUCCGCCCGACAGUCCAUACUCAGGUGGUGUGUUUUUCCUUUCUAUUCACUUUCCAACAGAUUACCCCUUCAAGCCUCCAAAGGUUGCUUUCACAACAAAAAUUUACCAUCCAAACAUCAACAGCAAUGGCAGCAUCUGUCUAGACAUCCUAAGAUCUCAGUGGUCACCAGCUCUCACUAUUGCAAAAGUACUCCUAUCAAUCUGCUCGUUGCUAACUGACCCGAAUCCAGACGACCCCCUCGUACCAGAAAUUGCAAAGCUCUAUAAAACUAACAAAAAGAAAUACGAAGAUGCUGCCAAGGAUUGGUGUCAAAAAUAUGCCCAGUGACAACACUAUUCUACAACUUUUUUUUGUAACAUAAAGGUGAGAUUGAAACCAUUGAUUGUAUGUUACAGUCGCAGCAACAAAAUAGACUCUAUCGUGAUCAAAGCUAUUAAAGUUAUUUUUUGCGUCGGUUUGGAAUUAGUUUUGUUGGUGUGACUAUAGCAUAAAGGAAUGCUUCCAGACUUACAAAGAAUGUUCUCAAUUAACAUCCUUAUAAACUUUGUAACGCCUCUGAUGUAAAAUUUUUUCCAACGAGGACGUCAUCAGUGGUUGUCUGGCCCGCCAUUUCCUGAUAUGAGAAUGCAAAACAUUUUUGAGAGGUUGGACUUACAUAUCGCCAGUGUUUGUCCCAAACCGUCUAAGAUUACUAGAAAUAUGCUGCCUGAAUUCAGAGAUUUGUGUUUUUAUUUUUACUCAAUUUUACGAAUUUGAGGAGGUAUGGUAAGAGAGCUUCAUGUGAUUAGUGAAUAUUCUUCAUUUCUUUGGUGGUUUCCUAUUAAAUCAAAACAAUUUCAAGGAAUUAUGGAAUUUAGAUGGCCAGUUCAUGAAUAUAGAGAUGUAAAAUGUGAAAUUUCAGCAAUGUUUUAGAAAUUUUUGACCAAAAUUGACUGAUACGACAGUUUGGAUGAACGCCAACAAUUUAUGCUUUUAACGGCUGUUUGAACGGCGUUAAAACGUUUUUGACUCGGCCCUAGCAUCACCAUUGUCUUCAUUGUUGUUUAUUGUCACGUUAUUGUCAUGGUAAUACAAUAUUUUCAUAUUUGAUUUCCAUCCUAUCGCAGGAGAGGAGAGCCAGAAGCAAUAUAAUGAUGAGAGAUUUGACCUGUUCUAACUUCACAGCAGCCUCAUAAACCAUGACAUCAGUGAACCCAAGGCCAUCUGGAUUAUUAUUUGAGAAAAAUUAUCGUCAUAUAUUUAAUAUUACUACCAUCACUCUGAAUCGCUUCUCUGCUACAUUCUUUUUUUCCCAUAUACAAUGAUUCAUGACUGUGUCUCUUUGUUUAAUAAACUUAAAAUAGUGGACAAGAAGAUAGAUGAUUAAAGUAUGUAUCCGAGGAAGAUUUGUCGGUAAAGUAUUACAUCAUGAUACACUGACGUAAACAUUUCCAUGCUAAAUUGCUAAUGUCUAUCUAUAGCUUUUUUUUUUUUUCAAUUUUUCAAUUGUGAAUUAUGCUAUAAACUUCCUAAGCACACUUAUGUACAUAUAUAUCUGUAUAUAUUCAAAGUUUUUAUGAUCAAUUUUAGCCCGAAUAUAUAAUCACCCUUUGGACAAUCCAGUGUAUCAUACAUUUUUCAACAGAUCACCUGCAUUUGGGGGCCUUUUGGGGGUUAGUACAGUAAUUCAGCUUGGAAAACUUGACGCCCUUGCUUUAUGGGCAUCCAAUUAUUUUAGGCAGUGAAGAAUACAUUAAAGACUGCUAGACAUUACAACAGGCCCUUUAAAAUGGUUUAUACCGUCUGUCUGUAAUAGAUGUUGGUUUUUAUUUUCAAAAUCUACAUGUACUUGUUUCAUGGAACAGUCAACCAGGAUGAUGGUAUGGGAAUAGAUUGUUCGAUGAAAUUCCUUCAGAAUUCUGCCUAUUACAAUGAUCUAAGUAUGGUAAUCAUGGUCAUGUUUCACUAGACCUGCUUACAGUAUUCAAAUCCUAGAAACCUGUCAUACCUUUGCUCUGAGCCAAUCAGAUCACAGCAUUUUAGCAGCUUAUAACAGUUGUUUGUUUCUGGCCAAUGAUGAUAAGUGUUGUGAAACCUGGCCCUGGCAAUCAUUAGUGAUGUGAAGUUUCAGAUUAUCUUGGAUUCUGAGCUGAAAGCAAUGUAUAAACAUGUUUUCAAUAUUCAUACCCUCUCCUCUCCUUUUCACUAUCUACCUAUUAAUCUCAUCAAUAAUGGUGUAGUGUGAAUGUUUCAGAUAUAUGGGGCCAUUCGCAUAAAAACGAAAAUUUGUGAUAACAUUACUAUUAGUGGUAAUUUCCUCAGAAACCAUGUUUUUGUAUAGCUGUUGCGUAAUGUUACCAUGGUAGUUACCAUUGAAAGGACAGUUUAUUUUAAUGGUUGGUUUUGUGACAUGGGGCCACAGAGAUAAUUAAGAUGACUAUUUCUUUCAUCAGGGGCGGGGUUUAUUUGCCAGUACAGUGAGAAUUCAUUCUUUGUCCAAACAUUAUUAACCCCAAUGGACUGGCUUUAUUCAUGUAAUGUCGAGCAUAAAUUUGGGACAUUGUAUUGGCAGAAUGAAAGAACAAGUUUAAUGACAGCCCUGUCUAAAUUAUUUAAAAUCAAUCAAAUCAGGAUGCUGUAGGUUUGCAAAUGAGAAAAUGAAUUGAUCAUUUGGAAAGUUAAAAUGAUCGAAAUCUCUAUGGGGGGACAUGGUUACAUUGCUAAUGUUGAUAUACUACCGCUUUGUCUUCGGUUUUGACAAUGGGUCAGUCAUGUUAAUUAUACUCCAGUAUCAUAAACACUCCAAUACUUCAAAAGUGUAGUGGUAAUUCAUUGAGUUUUUUUCUUUUCUUCUUUUCAGCCAUUCCAGAAUUUAAAUUUGGCAUCUAGAUGGGCUUUAACCCAGAUGUAUGAUAGCUUUCAUUAAAUCUAGUUGUAUUAUUUUCUUUUCAGAAUUUAUUUGCACCCACUGAAUCUCCUUUCACUGGGGCAUGGUACACAAACUUUGCACUCGAUAACGUGUGAAAGAAACGUCCAAUACCAGUCCUGAUUAUUGUGUGCUUGUGAUUGAACAAAGACAAAGUUGCAUGGUUUGGGGAGUUUAGAUGCAAAGUCUUCUGUAGCUUCCCUAGGGUUGAUUAUAGUCCAAUUGAUCAAUGAGAGUGCGGUUUAUGCCAUUAAUUAGUGAAAAUGGAUUGUAGCUUGUUGAAUGUAGCGAUCUUGUAUCAAAACGCCCCCUCUCUAUAAUAUAUCCGUGUUAUUUUCUACUUUCAUUACCAUAAUUUUCAAACUGUUGUAUUUUCUAUCAAUUUCGAUGGUGAUGUUUUUUUUCUCUCUCUUGUGAUCAUAUGUUUAUGUAUCUUGUAAGAAUCAAAGCUAUUCCAUGUUGAUGUGUUAUGUGGAAAUACCAUGUGCGGAUUAAGUUGGAGUUGGCCUCAAACAAACUGGAUUUGUCUAUAAUACAUGUAUAUAGUGCAGUUUUGGUUCUCACUUAUAGUUUCAUAAGUAUCUGAUUUGUUUUGUUUAAGUAAAAAAAAAAUAAAGAGCUAAAUAUUUGAAUAGUGUUAGAGAACUAAUGGAAAACAGUUUACUCAACAGUCAUGUUCAUUUUGGAAGUUUAGGGAUUUUGUUGUAAAUUGAGAAAGUUUUUGAAAUUAACAUUGUAAGGAAUUGCUGGUAAUUCUCAAAAUCGUGUGUCUCUGUUAUAGUGUCUUAUGUAAGUCUUACUAAGAGGCAAAUAAUUUUUCUAUACACCGUGAUCUCCAUGAUCAUUUUCGACUGCAUUUAUUGAGAAGGGUGAAACAAGAAGUAGUGUUCACUAUCAAUUUCCAAACAUUUAAAUGACAAACAGGUUUCCCAGCUAUACAAUUGAAAAAGAAAAAUGUGACAAAUUGAUGUCUUUAACCUUUCCAAAGGGCAGAAAGUUGAGGACUUGGAUUUGGGGGAUGGAAUCCUUAAAAAUGAAAAUGUAUUGGUCUUUGAUUGCUUGCCCAAUUUGCAUAAUCAGUUGCAUGAAUGGUAAUUAAGUACUGAUAAACGGGAUUUUCUUCGAAAGUCUUUUUUCAGGGGGGGGGGUGGAAUGUUGCAAGUUUAGCUGGGAACCCUGUCUUUGUCAGAAAACAGUGAUUUUCUGUGAGUUUUAUGUAUCUGAUGUGUGGGUAUAUAUAUAUAGAAUAAAAAUUUCUCCUCAUAAAUGAAUUACAAAUUGGUGGAUAACCUAAGAUGAUGAAGAUACAUGCAGACUUCUUUGUCGUGUUACUUGGUUUUCCAAAUCUUUUUUAUAAAAUGUUGUAGAGGUUACUAUCGCCCCACUAUCACAUUUGAGAAUCAUAGCCAUUCUGUUAUGCAUAAAGGAGAAUAAAUGUCAGAAUACAUGUA
This is an RNA transcript of Lytechinus pictus (painted urchin), 4648 nucleotides long. It is a transcript of the gene named ubiquitin-conjugating enzyme E2-17 kDa-like, with no coding region annotated. NCBI's taxonomy places the organism in Eukaryota, Metazoa, Echinodermata, Echinoidea, Temnopleuroida, Toxopneustidae. The record is from RefSeq and is a predicted model, not a curated record. The transcript has 7 exons.